This 103-nucleotide non-coding RNA is filed under the name Kurthia massiliensis. RNAcentral describes it as "SAM riboswitch (S box leader)". It matches the Rfam family "SAM riboswitch aptamer (S box leader)". From Rfam's summary of the family: The SAM riboswitch is found upstream of a number of genes which code for proteins involved in methionine or cysteine biosynthesis in Gram-positive bacteria. The SAM riboswitch acts at the level of transcription termination control. The record is from RNAcentral. Lineage: Bacteria; Bacillati; Bacillota; Bacilli; Caryophanales; Caryophanaceae.
UCUUAUCAAGAGAAGCUGAGGGAUACGGCCCGAUGACGCUUCAGCAACCUCUGCGUCAUGCAGAAAGGUGCUAAGUCCUACAGGAUAUUCCUGGAAGAUAAGA